Molecule: ribosomal RNA, 492 nt
Filed under: uncultured bacterium
Lineage: Bacteria
Description: partial 16S ribosomal RNA
Rfam family: Bacterial small subunit ribosomal RNA
Source: RNAcentral
GUUGAACGCUGGCGGCAUGCUUUACACAUGCAAGUCGAGCGGAAACACGCCUUGGGUUGCUGACGGACGGUGGACGCGGGAGGAAGGGUUCGGAACGGAUCCCCAGCCUGUGGGUAACGCAUAGAAAGCGGUGCUAGGAGCUCAUGUGGGCUGAGAUUUAAAACGGGAGAGCGAGCUGGAAUGUUUCGCCUUGCGUCUUUGGAGUGGCCGGUGUCGGAUUAGCUAGUUGGUGGGGUAAAGGCCUACCAAGGCGACGAUCCGUAGCGGACCUGAGAGGACGACCAGCCACACUGGAACUGAGACACGGCCCAGACUCCUACGGGAGGCAGCAGUGGGGAAUCUUGGGCAAUGGGCGAAAGCCUGACCGAGCAACGCCGCGUGAGGGAAGAAGGCCUUCGGGUCGUAAAACGCUUUUGGCAGGAAAGAACAAGUGUGCGCGAAACCAGGGCGCUCUUGACGGUACCUGAUGAAUAAGCCACGGCUAACUACGUG